UACGGAGGGUCCAAGCGUUGUCCGGAUUUAUUGGGUGUAAAGGGUGUGUAGGCGGGCCCGUAAGUCAGGGGUGAAAUCCUGCGGCUUAACCGUAGAACUGCCCUUGAUACUGCGGGUCUUGAGUCCUGGAGAGGUCGCCGGAAUUCGUGGUGUAGCGGUGAAAUGCGUAGAUAUCACGAGGAACGCCGGAGGUGUAGACGGGUGACUGGACAGGAACUGACGCUAAGGCACGAAAGCGUGGGGAGCGAACAGG
This 253-nucleotide unclassified non-coding RNA is filed under the name uncultured Bacteroidota bacterium. RNAcentral's name for it is "uncultured Bacteroidetes bacterium contains 16S-23S intergenic spacer region". It matches the Rfam family "Bacterial small subunit ribosomal RNA", at positions 524 to 776 of the family's 1533-position model. Lineage: Bacteria; Pseudomonadati; Bacteroidota. The record is from RNAcentral.